AGUAAUCAUAAUUUAGCAACUCAUUUUAGUCAAGGUGCAAGAAAGUAUGAUGGCUCCACUGGGGCUCGAACCCAGGACCUUCUGCGUGUAAAGCAGACGUGAUAACCACUACACUAUGGAACCUAUAGGCAAGCAGUCACAUCUGUGAAUCACAGGUGCCUGUGUUUGGCUUGAUUUGGAACCAGACAAUUUCGGAGUUCCGCCUCUUCUUCAGUUCACUCACUGUCCUUCCUGUUGGACACAAACCCGGUGUGGUGUGAUGUUUGACUUUGUCCAGCCCAGUCCAACGGCGCCGCUUACACCUCAUGUGUUUUGCUUGAGACCUUCUGCUUGCAGCCAUUUGAAAGAUGGAGUUUUUCUCUCUCUCUCUCUCAUCACUGAGAGUCUCACUGGCCUGGAAACAUUAACCGUGUUUUCUGUCGACAUUUGCUGCCAGAGGUGUUGAUUUUUCACGAGCAAUUUCUUGUUGUUGUGAAUGCGUUUGGAAGGCUUGAGCUGGAAGUGAUGAAGUUAUUUUUUUGGAUUUCAGGAAGCAGUCUGCAAGCCAAACGCAGAGGAAGAAAAAAGAUGAGAGUGUGUGGAAUUGGUGCAGGAUCGGAGAUGUAUUGGUGCCGGUGAAAUGUGAUUGUGAACUCAUUGUGGGAAUAUGGGGAAGCAAUGAGAAAGGCAAUCUGUGCGACAAACUCAGACAGAAAAUACGAAAUCAAUGCAAUAUUCUCUACUAACCAGUAUCGCUGAUGGUAUUUCGCAAUCAGGGCCUCUUUACCUUCGUCCGUAAUGCAUCUGACUUUUAAUCAGAGGCUCCAGGGUUGAAGUCCGUGUUCGGGCACUGUCUUAAAAUCGGAUUGCUCAGUACUGUCUCUAAACAAUCAAUUCGUGACGUGAGAAAACCUGAUUUUUUUCAAGACUGUGUUCACCAAUGAAUAUCACUUCUCCAGCCUGAAUAUCUCAUUGGGGAGAGUGUUGGGCUUCGAAUCUGAGCGUCCCGUGUCGAAGAACCCGUUGAAAUGCUGUUUUUUGAGUCCCAGUUCUCCAAGCAAUCAAUCUUUGACAUGCUUUGAGUGUGAAAAAUGAAAAUUGCUCAGUAAACAACAGACUGGAUUUUUCGAACUCAAGCCACGAAUCACGCCCAUUGGUUAAUAUGUUAGGAAGCAACUUGCAAGUCAACCGCAGAGAAAGAAAAAGAUGAGAGAGUGUGGAACUGGUGCAGGAUCGGAGAUGUAUUGUUGCAGAUGUAAUGUGAUUGUGAACGCACUGUGGGAAUAGGGGAAACCAAUGAGAAAGGAAAAGUGUGCAAACAACCCACAAAGCCAAAAGUAGAUCAAUACACUGUUCUGUGCUCACCAGUGUGUGUCACUGCAAUCGCGUUUCAACCAGAGCCCGGAUAGCUCAGUCGGUAGAGCAUCAGACUUUUAAUCUGAGGGUCCAGGGUUCAAGUCCCUGUUCGGGCGUUGCUUUUAAAUAGGAGUUAUCAGUCUUGCGUCGAAAUAGUCAUCACAUGGUCGAAUGUGAUGUGUUUAAAGUCUCAAACGACAAAAUUGCGCAGAAACAGCAGGCUAACGAAAUUCGAACGUUUUCUUCGUACCGUCCACCUAACUCUGCCACAGAUUAAAAA
Molecule: non-coding RNA, 1615 nt
Organism: Chiloscyllium plagiosum (whitespotted bambooshark)
Lineage: Eukaryota; Metazoa; Chordata; Chondrichthyes; Orectolobiformes; Hemiscylliidae
Source: RefSeq, a predicted model, not a curated record